ACACUCCUGCGGGAGGCAGCAGUGGGGAAUUUUGGACAAUGGGCGAAAGCCUGAUCCAGCAAUGCCGCGUGAGUGAAGAAGGCCUUCGGGUUGUAAAGCUCUUUUGUCAGGGAAGAAACGGUGAGAGCUAAUAUCUUUUGCUAAUGACGGUACCUGAAGAAUAAGCACCGGCUAACUACGUGCCAGCAGCCGCGGUAAUACGUAGGGUGCAAGCGUUAAUCGGAAUUACUGGGCGUAAAGCGUGCGCAGGCGGUUUUGUAAGUCUGAUGUGAAAUCCCCGGGCUCAACCUGGGAAUUGCAUUGGAGACUGCAAGGCUAGAAUCUGGCAGAGGGGGGUAGAAUUCCACGUGUAGCAGUGAAAUGCGUAGAUAUGUGGAGGAACACCGAUGGCGAAGGCAGCCCCCUGGGUCAAGAUUGACGCUCAUGCACGAAAGCGUGGGGAGCAAACAGGAUUAGAAACCCCUGUAGUCCCAU
RNAcentral lists this ribosomal RNA (474 nucleotides) under uncultured organism. RNAcentral describes it as "partial 16S ribosomal RNA". It matches the Rfam family "Bacterial small subunit ribosomal RNA", at positions 333 to 798 of the family's 1533-position model. The record is from RNAcentral.